Molecule: ribosomal RNA, 404 nt
Filed under: uncultured bacterium
Lineage: Bacteria
Description: bacterial SSU rRNA
Rfam family: Bacterial small subunit ribosomal RNA
Source: RNAcentral
UUCCUAGCGGCGGACGGGUGAGUAACACGUGGGCAACCUGCCUCACAAUGGGGGAUAGCCUUCCGAAAGGAAGAUUAAUACCCCAUAACACAAAGGAAACGCAUGUUUCUUUUGCCAAAGAAUUUCGUUGUGAGAUGGGCCCGCGGCGCAUUAGCUUGUUGGUGAGGUAACGGCUCACCAAGGCGACGAUGCGUAGCCGACCUGAGAGGGUGAUCGGCCACAUUGGAACUGAGACACGGUCCAGACUCCUACGGGAGGCAGCAGUGGGGAAUAUUGCACAAUGGAGGAAACUCUGAUGCAGCNACGCCGCGUGAGUGAUGAAGGUCUUCGGAUUGUGAAGCUCUGUCUUCUGGGACGAUAAUGACGGUACCAGAGGAGGAAGCCACGGUUAACUACGUGCCAGC